UUUUAUUUUAUUUGUAAUAUCAGAUUGUUCCCUUAGAAAAUCCAAUCAGAUUGAACCCUUCUCCUACGUUUUGAACCCUUCUCUCACUGUUUCUCAUCGUUGAACCCUAUAUUUAGAACCCAACACUGAUUCUCAUUCCUCUCAAUGCUGUGAGUAUUGCCGCCAAACCUGUGACCGUCACCGUCACUCUCAAAGUCGUCACUGUCCCCCUCUCUUACGUGUGACCCUCUCGAACCCGUCGUCGUUCAGUGUCGUCGCCGCGCUGUCAUCUAUUGUCGAUUCUCAAUUUCAAGCAAACUAAAAAGGACAUAAUAGCAACAUCAAAUGGAGAACAAUUGGUUCGGUUCUGAUUUACUUUCUUGAUUAUCAGCAACCUAAAUGGAUUCAAAGGUAUGCAACGGAUUCAAAUUGGACAUUGGAUGGACGAUAUCAGACACUGACUAAUUUCUGGCCAAAAGUUCCUGUUUUGGUCAUUCAUUGGUUCUGGUUUGAACACCAAUGUAAAAUGCACUAUCUUACACCAAGAAAUCAGUUUUUUGUUGUUGUUGAGGUUAUUACAGACAUAAUGUAGAUUUUCCUAGUAUAAAAUCAAGGUAAUUUAAAGAAUGAGGAUGAAGGGCUUACCAAUACCAUAGCGUUGAUUUGUCUUUAAUUGCAUGAUUUCUGGACAGAUUGCACUAUCUGGACAGAUUGCACUAUCUGGAUAGAUUGCAUGAUUUCUCUUUAAUUGCUUAUAUUAACUUAGACAUAACUUAGAAUGAUUUCUGGUUCAUUUUUCUGCGUUUUUCUGUGUUUCUGGUUCAUUCUUCUGCUUGGUUAUGUAAGUUGUUGUUUACUAACUAUCCCAAAUGCAUUGAUGCAAGACCUAGUCCCCCUGUAUCCUGGUGAAUUUUGAUAAACAACAAAUCGUAGUUUGUAGGGGGAAGGAUUAUAAGCAAUUGAAAGUUUUAGGGUCGGAAAUCAACAAAUUUGAGGGCAACAACAUGGACGACAACAUGGACCUCUAGCACAAGUAAUUGGAAAGCAAUCUCCAUAAGCUGUACAACAAGGUGGUAAAUCUUGAAUUCGUACGCUUUGAGAGUUACCAGCCAAAGAACCUAUAAUAGCAAUGACUAAAAUCAAUAAUUUGAAGAGCAUCUUCAACAAAGUGGUCAUUACAACUGAGUUUGGUUUACAAAGAAAAACAACAGAGAUAUCUUAUAGUGAGCCCUAUGUUAACGUGAUAUGUACUAAUUUAUAGACAAAGAAACAAUACUCUACAAAAUCAUUUUUAGUAAUAUUUAAAUGUUAACAUAUAGGAUUUAAUUAGAACGCAUUGAUAGUGUAAAGAUUUACUACAUAUACUGACAUUUAAUUAUAAAAAUUA
Cicer arietinum (chickpea) is the source of this 1366-nucleotide non-coding RNA. NCBI's taxonomy places the organism in Eukaryota, Viridiplantae, Streptophyta, Magnoliopsida, Fabales, Fabaceae. The record is from RefSeq and is a predicted model, not a curated record.